AGGGUUUGAUUAUGGCUCAGGAUGAACGCUGGCGGCGUGCUUAACACAUGCAAGUCGAACGAAGCAGCUUGAUUUGAUUCUUCGGAUGAAGAUCUUGGUGACUGAGUGGCGGACGGGUGAGUAACGCGUGGGUAACCUGCCUCAUACAGGGGGAUAACAGUUAGAAAUGACUGCUAAUACCGCAUAAGACCACAGUACCGCAUGGUACAGGGGUAAAAACUCCGGUGGUAUGAGAUGGACCCGCGUCUGAUUAGGUAGUUGGUGGGGUAACGGCCUACCAAGCCGACGAUCAGUAGCCGACCUGAGAGGGUGACCGGCCACAUUGGGACUGAGACACGGCCCAA
Molecule: ribosomal RNA, 344 nt
Filed under: uncultured bacterium
Lineage: Bacteria
Description: bacterial SSU rRNA
Rfam family: Bacterial small subunit ribosomal RNA
Source: RNAcentral